This 509-nucleotide ribosomal RNA is filed under the name Calligrapha ostryae. RNAcentral's name for it is "partial 16S ribosomal RNA". The stretch from base 382 to 509 matches the Rfam family "Archaeal large subunit ribosomal RNA", at positions 2544 to 2671 of the family's 2987-position model. Lineage: Eukaryota; Metazoa; Arthropoda; Insecta; Coleoptera; Chrysomelidae. The record is from RNAcentral.
GUYUUUUUGUUAAAAAUUUAAAGUCGGGCCUGCCCACUGAAAUUUUUAAUGGCCGUGGUAUUUUGACCAUGCUAAGGUAGCAUAAUAAUUAGUUUUUUAAUUGAAAGCUGGAAUGAAAGGUUUGAUAAAAAAAUGACUGUCUCUAUUUAAUUUUAUUAAAAAUUUAUUUUUAAGUUCAAAAGCUUAAUUUUAAUUAAAAGACGAGAAGACCCUAUAGAGUUUAAUAAUUUAAGAUAAUUUAUAUUUUAGAAUUAAUUUAUUUAUUUUUUAAUAUUAUUUAAUUGGGGUGAUUGAAAAAUUUAAUUAACUUUUUUUAUAUUUAACCAUUAAUUUAUGAUAAUUUGAUCCAAUUUUUUGAUUAUAAGAUAAAAUUACCUUAGGGAUAACAGCGUAAUUUUUUUAGAAAGUUCAAAUUAAAAGAAAAGAUUGCGACCUCGAUGUUGGAUUAAAAUUAAAUUUUGGUGUAGAAGCUAAAAAUUUUAAGUCUGUUCGACUUUUAAAAUUUUACA